ACCAAGAAAAACGGCAAAAAGACUGGUACCGACUUUGAAGCAUCCCGCCAUUUCUGUGAGGGUUUUGAAGCUCGUUGAGAAACGUGAAUUAGAAACGAUUUAGAAAAUCUUUCUCGCCCCACAGAAAAAAAAAAGUUUUUAACUAGAAAAGUGAUCAACACGCUGAAAGACGGAACUGUUAAAGAAUGGUAGAGAGGUCGAUGAGCUUAACUUCUUAGAACCUAAAGACAAAAAGGAAUUUACACGCAAAAGGAUGGAUUUGUUCAAGAACUGGCUCAUAGAGAAGUCGAUGGACUUAACGAUAACGCAUCUGCACACAUCUGAGCCUUGGUAUGUUGUUAUCAUGUUCUUAAAAUUGGGUGAAAUCUCAGAAUGGACGUUCUUAUAAAAAAAUAGUGUACUCGGAUGAAUAACAGCUCACUGACAACAUAAUCAAUAUUUCUUAUAUUUUAAGCAUUAACGAAAAGCUUGAAAAAAAACAGGAAUUGAGAACGAAACGAAGACACCAAGCGUAACAUUGUAAGGCGUAACAUUGUAAAGAUUUACAAGAUAAAGAAUGUAUAACCCAUCAACAGACAGGAUUUGCAUAGAUUGUACGCAGAUUGUAGUAAAAGGAAUUGUUUUUUUCGCCAAGUUCAAGCUUUUGCUGAUGACAUGGGUGGGCUACAAGCAGGGGAUUCAUUAGGCCCCUGCAGCCAGCAGAACUGCCAGUUAUUUUCCACCGAGCGCCGCCUCCUUUUUUUAGAAAGCUUAUUUAAGUUUUAUUUGAACCAAUAAAUAACUUCUACCCCCCACUUAUCAAUCUCCACCGACUACUUUGAAACUUAAUAAAACUCCUGUGAUCUCCUGGUGCUGGUUUGUGGAGAAUUUUGAGCAAGCUCAGAGUAGGAUAUUCAUGGAUAACUGCAAGAGAGGUGCCAAAUGGUCGCUAGAUAUUUUUGAAUUCUCGGAUUCUAGCAUUUUGACUUCUUGUUCUCAGAUCUUUAGAAAAGCAAGAUCUCGUUUUCUCUGAUUUUCAAAACGGCCCUCUCGCCCACUCUGGACUAUUUCUCAGAUUGACCAUUCGCCUUCCCCUACAAGCUAGACGGGCUGAGUGUGUUCUCACAGCACUUAGUCUGGAAGAAUUGUUUUUUGAAAACUGUGAACUUGUUAAGAUGCUGUUGAAGUUCAUGGUUAGAAACCUGAAUAAAGAAGCUGAAAAAGUUGUUCACAAUCAUGACAGCUAUUGGUGGCUUGCUAAACUAGAUAUAGUAAGGUGCUGCUAGAUGCCGCAAGUCAAGGGAGAAGACAAUACACCCAAUAUCAUGAAGACUAGAGAAGGGCCAGGAGAAGAUUUUUGGAUGCCGUAAGCGAAAAUGCCAAGAAGAAACUGUAGAAAGGGCACAAUUAGUCCUCCUCACUAAGUCAAAUGCACUGCAAAUCUUUGCUAAGGAAAUUCGAAAAAAGAAAAAGUACAAUUGAAAAAGGCUUUGGUAAAAUCUUGGAAGGCCCUACAUUGUCUCUAUUAUUUCUUUGUUAUGCUACCCCUUGAAUUUCCACAAAAAGUCCUUGAAGAAGUCCUUGAAUUUUAUUUGUGGAAAAUUGUACGCACCCUGUUUGGUCCUUGUUACCUUUGUUCUUUUAUUCCUUUUAUUCUUUUUGUGUGCCAAGACUUUUGGGGAAUAGUUUUGAAGGAGAUUGCUGGAAUUUUCCAACUUUUGGGAUAUUCCUCUUAUCCUGCUUUAUCGCUUGCACCACUUUUCUUGGGCAAGUUUAGGGGUUCUUGUUGUUUUAUCUUGCCCCUUGAGUCUUAAUAUCAGCAUAAUAAUAUAAGACUGCUUUCUAUGUGCCUUCUAUGUACAUAAAAGAAAUCAAUAUACAAUGGAAUAACUUAAGUACUGAACCUACAUAGCCAUAUAAAGGGCUUUAGUUAACAGAAAAAUAAUAAUGCCUAUAUACAUUGUAUUACAUAGCUAUUGGGUAAAAUCAAUAUAAAA
Long non-coding RNA from Nematostella vectensis (starlet sea anemone), 1976 nucleotides. RefSeq lists it as uncharacterized. The record is from RefSeq and is a predicted model, not a curated record. The transcript has 3 exons. Lineage: Eukaryota; Metazoa; Cnidaria; Anthozoa; Actiniaria; Edwardsiidae.